GUUUGAACUCUGAAAGAUCAUAUUAUUUAUUUAUUUGUUUGUCUUUCCUUCUCAAAGACAGUUAAUUACUGAAGCACCGAGAGAGAACGUUUUGUAUUCCUGCUUUGCUACUGUGCCUCACAAACCUGGGACUAAUGAGGCCAAGUUCUCACCCCAGCUGUGAACUUGCUGACUUUCCUGCUUGGAAACCGGAGCAGAGCUUCUGAACAUUGACUCAAGAGGCUACAGAAGUCCAUGAAGCUUCACCAGGCCCUGAAAGCUAAAACCUACGCCCGUUGCUCAAAGCAACAUCAUCAGGAAAAUUUGUUGAGAAGACUCCAAGAGGUGCUGUUGCCCGGGGGCAAUGCUCCCACCCGUCAAGCUUUGAGUCCGAUAGAGAGAAAGCAUCAGGCUUGCACUCUUCCUCAUCAUCACCUCCUCUACGGUGGGCCCUGCAGGGAUGCAGCUGCUUUUGAGCCACUCCCAUGCAGGACAGCAGAGUGAUGAAUUUAUUAUGACCCAUAUCUCUGGAGCCUGGGAAGUCUGAGAUCAAAGCUCUUGUUGUACUCUGGAACGGGCAUUCUUGAAGUCAUAGCAAGGUGGAAACCAUCGUGUUACAGAAGAACCUUGCUGAGUCUCUUGCCUCGAAUGAACUGAAAGUGGAACCCUAGAAAGAAGACAGCCCAGGGCUUAUCAUGGAUUCUUGAAAAGAGCAGGCCAACAUGAGAUGACAGCCAAAUAGGACAAGACAAGAUAUAAUAUGACAAGGCAACCUAAUGGGAGGAGAAGAGUUCCAAGAACAGGCAAAGGAGCCAGAGAAACACCUACUCCCACUGUUAGGAGUCCCACAAAACUACCAAGCUAAAACUUGGAGAAGACCUGCUGCCAACCAUGCAGGCCCCAUGCUUGCUUCUUAAGUCUCUG
Long non-coding RNA from Grammomys surdaster, 903 nucleotides. RefSeq lists it as uncharacterized. NCBI's taxonomy places the organism in Eukaryota, Metazoa, Chordata, Mammalia, Rodentia, Muridae. The record is from RefSeq and is a predicted model, not a curated record. The transcript is spliced from 5 exons.